AACGAACGCUGGCGGCAGGCCUAACACAUGCAAGUCGAACGCCGUAGCAAUACGGAGUGGCAGACGGGUGAGUAACACGUGGGAACGUACCCUUCGGUUCGGAAUAACUCAGGGAAACUUGAGCUAAUACCGGAUACGUCCGAGAGGAGAAAGAUUUAUCGCCGAGGGAUCGGCCCGCGUCUGAUUAGCUUGUUGGUUAGGUAACGGCUCACCAAGGCGACGAUCAGUAGCUGGUCUGAGAGGAUGAUCAGCCACAUUGGGACUGAGACACGGCCCAAACUCCACGGGAGGCAGCAGUGGGGAAUAUUGGACAAUGGGCGCAAGCCUGAUCCAGCCAUGCCGCGUGAGUGAUGAAGGCCCUAGGGUUGUAAAGCUCUUUUACCCGGGAAGAUAAUGACUGUACCGGGAGAAUAAGCCCCGGCUAACUUCGUGCCAGCCGCCGCGGUAAU
RNAcentral lists this ribosomal RNA (449 nucleotides) under uncultured bacterium. RNAcentral describes it as "bacterial SSU rRNA". It matches the Rfam family "Bacterial small subunit ribosomal RNA", at positions 29 to 524 of the family's 1533-position model. The record is from RNAcentral.